This is a long non-coding RNA of Salvelinus fontinalis (brook trout), 2349 nucleotides long. RefSeq lists it as uncharacterized. NCBI's taxonomy places the organism in Eukaryota, Metazoa, Chordata, Actinopteri, Salmoniformes, Salmonidae. The record is from RefSeq and is a predicted model, not a curated record. The transcript has 2 exons.
CAUUUAGCAGCAUGUUCGAUUGUGCGUCAAGAAUUCAGCAUAGCAAGUUUGUAUGAAGGUCUAGUUAUUAAUUAGUAUAGUUCAAUAGUAAUAUCCUCGAAAACGCUCUGGUGACAAACAAACUUUGCUGCCCUGUUUCCAAUUGUCCACAUGGCUGGACAAUUCAAGUAAGUAAAUAUAUUUCGAAAAUAAAAAACCGAUGUAUUAUUAGCUACUAACUACAGUGCAGGCUAAUUUAAAUGAGCUAUCUAGAUGAGCUAACUUCACAUACUGUAUAGAUAGCUAACUAAGGGAAUGAAAUAUCACCAUCUACCUAACUUCAUAUUAGUUAGCUAUCUUGAUGCAUUUAUCACUGUAAAAAAACUAACUCCAAAUUAAUUUGUAGGUAGGUAGCUAGCUAACAGCCAUGGAGGUGAUAGGAUAGCUGCCCCAACUGUGAGUAGGCUAUUCUGGAUAGGGCAGGUACUUUUGUGUAGUUCCUGUCUCUAGAAGUGAGGAUGGAGAUAAUAGCAACAUAAUAUUCAGUGCGGUGUAAUUUGACUAUUAUGAAGUCUGUUUCUUGUGAGGUUUUCUGUCCUCAGAUAAAGAGGGCUAUGAAAGCCUGUCUACAUAUGAAGUGCAGUGGUUCUCAGUCCUGGUCCUGGGGACUCAAAGGGGUGCACAUUUUGGUUUUUGCCUUAACACUGAGCAGUUGAUUCAAAUAAUCAACUUAUCAUCAAGCUUCAAGUGGUAUUUAUGUAUUCAUUUGUGAUGCUAUCCUUUAUAUUGUCCUGUUAUUGUCACAUGCACAUGUGUGUCCAUGCAUCUAUCAAUCCAAUCUUAUAAUAAUUUAUCAGGGAUAUUAUACUUUUGUAAUCCACAAUGACCUGGUGAUGUAAAAGUCUAAUAAUUACAUUGUCUUCCAUAUUCCUACUUGUAACUGGAGAUUCCUUCAAAAUGAGUGCCUACAGUUAAAGUGUAGGGCAAUGCAAGGUUGGGUGACCAGGAGGGCCAUCUGGGACUGCCUCCUGGAGGAAUUCAGGUGUGUGUGAAGGCUACCUGUGUCCUGCAUAACUUCAUAAGGAUGGACACGAGGACCGGGAGGGGAUCUGCAGCUCGCUGCCGUCUGCCAGAGAAGAAGUCUGCUGCUCUGCAGGAUGUUUCAAGGAUGGGGUCCAACAAUGGAGCAAGAGGCAAUCCAUUUGCGGGAGAUCUUCACCUCCUACUUCUUCAAAGAGGGUGCUGUUCCCUGGCAAUACCAUAGACGACACGAUGCACAACCAAAGGCUCUUUUAAGAGUCAUUCACAUUGCAAUAAGAAUAUUCUUCCAUGUCAACUGCAGUUAUUCAAUUCCCAUUUUCUCUCCCUUUGAUUUCUACUUCUCAGGUGAGGGUGCUGUUAUUAAGGUAAGUGUGUGAUGUCUGUACAAAAACAAAACAGGCUAUUUUAAAUCACCCAUAUUGAAAAAAUGUAUAACAAUUAGACACCUUAUAACACACACACUCAUGUAUCAAUCUGAUUAAUGGAUUGUGUUGUGCAGUAAGCAGGCUCAGGUGUAUAACUGUGGCUCCUUCCACCUUCAAAGAAUAGGCAAGAGGGCCAACCAUGGAGAAUAGUAAGAGACUUCAUUAUUUCUAUAACUACGCUAUAUUGUUUGUCCACGUGUGUCUGUUUAUGUUUUUCAGCAUAAAGUACUCUGCAGCCACUUAGUGUGGUGUGGACACCAGGUUAUAUCAGCUGUGUCUGUGAACCUCUCCCUCAUCUGAACUGGCUACAUGGAGGGCACAGCAUGAUCAGAGAUGAAAGGUCACUUGGUCAGGUCAACAGGAAGUAUUAUUAAAGAGAUGCUUUACAUUGAAAUACAGAUAGAGAUGCAGUAGUCCCAGAGUUAAUGAUCCAAGGUCAGUUUUGCAUUUCACCUGCUGAUUAGUAUAAUGAAUAACAAGGUUAGAAUAAAACAUUUAAACACAAGGCUUAAACAUGCAUCUGUCUCUAGUCUGCAGAUAUGUUUUGACGUGAGAGAGGAUGCCAACCCCCAGUCACACCAUUGCCACCUCACCCGCUUUUAAGAUAACCUUCGGACUGACUAGUUUCACUAUUAUGUAAUUGUGAUGAACUGAGAGAAUAUUUGGGUUGCACUGUGAUUCAUUAAUCAUAUGCUGCCUUCCCUGCCCUUAUGUCUUAACUCUUUCCCUUUCUGUCUUUUACACCUCUCGCCACCUCUUUCUUCCUGUUUUUAUAAUGUACAACAGAUGUGCAUUGAAGUACAGAUUGAACUUGUAUUUAUAAUAUGACAAUUAUAUUUAUAAUGCAUGUAUUUAUAACACUUGGAUAAUGAAAUUCUUUCAAUAAAGUGUUUCACAUUCUCUA